This 557-nucleotide ribosomal RNA is filed under the name uncultured Glomeromycotina. RNAcentral describes it as "SSU rRNA". It matches the Rfam family "Eukaryotic small subunit ribosomal RNA", at positions 548 to 1104 of the family's 1831-position model. Lineage: Eukaryota; Fungi; Glomeromycota. The record is from RNAcentral.
UUGGAGGGCAAGUCUGGUGCCAGCAGCCGCGGUAAUUCCAGCUCCAAUAGCGUAUAUUAAAGUUGUUGCAGUUAAAAAGCUCGUAGUUGAAUUUCGGGGUUCGUACGUUGGUCGGGCUUUUUGGUCUGUACUGGCGUAAUGGAUUCCUACCUUCUGAAUGACCGGCAUGCCAUUAAUUUGGUGCGCCGGGGAAGCAGGACUGUUACCUUGAAAAAAUUAGAGUGCUUAAAGCAGGCUAGUGCCUGAAUACAUUAGCAUGGAAUAAUGAAAUAGGACGUUUGAUUCUAUUUUGUUGGUUUCUAGGAUCGACGUAAUGAUUAAUAGGGAUAGUUGGGGGCAUUAGUAUUCAAUUGUCAGAGGUGAAAUUCUUGGAUUUAUUGAAGACUAACUACUACGAAAGCAUUUGCCAAGGAUGUUUUCAUUAAUCAAGAACGAAAGUUAGGGGGAUCGAAGACGAUCAGAUACCGUCGUAGUCUUAACCAUAAACUAUGCCGACUAGGUAUCGGACGAUGUUAAUUUUUAAUGACUCGUUCGGCGCCUUUACGGGAAACCAAAGU